This 1439-nucleotide ribosomal RNA is filed under the name uncultured organism. Its description in RNAcentral is "SSU rRNA". It matches the Rfam family "Bacterial small subunit ribosomal RNA". The record is from RNAcentral.
CUUGAUGAACGCUAGCUACAGGCUUAACACAUGCAAGUCGAGGGGCAGCAUGGUCUUAGCUUGCUAAGGCCGAUGGCGACCGGCGCACGGGUGAGUAACACGUAUCCAACCUGCCGUCUACUCUUGGACAGCCUUCUGAAAGGAAGAUUAAUACAAGAUGGCAUCAUGAGUCCGCAUGUUCACAUGAUUAAAGGUAUUCCGGUAGACGAUGGGGAUGCGUUCCAUUAGAUAGUAGGCGGGGUAACGGCCCACCUAGUCUUCGAUGGAUAGGGGUUCUGAGAGGAAGGUCCCCCACAUUGGAACUGAGACACGGUCCAAACUCCUACGGGAGGCAGCAGUGAGGAAUAUUGGUCAAUGGGCGAGAGCCUGAACCAGCCAAGUAGCGUGAAGGAUGACUGCCCUAUGGGUUGUAAACUUCUUUUAUAAAGGAAUAAAGUCGGGUAUGGAUACCCGUUUGCAUGUACUUUAUGAAUAAGGAUCGGCUAACUCCGUGCCAGCAGCCGCGGUAAUACGGAGGAUCCGAGCGUUAUCCGGAUUUAUUGGGUUUAAAGGGAGCGUAGAUGGAUGUUUAAGUCAGUUGUGAAAGUUUGCGGCUCAACCGUAAAAUUGCAGUUGAUACUGGAUAUCUUGAGUGCAGUUGAGGCAGGCGGAAUUCGUGGUGUAGCGGUGAAAUGCUUAGAUAUCACGAAGAACUCCGAUUGCGAAGGCAGCCUGCUAAGCUGCAACUGACAUUGAGGCUCGAAAGUGUGGGUAUCAAACAGGAUUAGAUACCCUGGUAGUCCACACGGUAAACGAUGAAUACUCGCUGUUUGCGAUAUACUGCAAGCGGCCAAGCGAAAGCGUUAAGUAUUCCACCUGGGGAGUACGCCGGCAACGGUGAAACUCAAAGGAAUUGACGGGGGCCCGCACAAGCGGAGGAACAUGUGGUUUAAUUCGAUGAUACGCGAGGAACCUUACCCGGGCUUAAAUUGCAGAUGAAUUACGGUGAAAGCCGUAAGCCGCAAGGCAUCUGUGAAGGUGCUGCAUGGUUGUCGUCAGCUCGUGCCGUGAGGUGUCGGCUUAAGUGCCAUAACGAGCGCAACCCUUGUUGUCAGUUACUAACAGGUUCCGCUGAGGACUCUGACAAGACUGCCAUCGUAAGAUGUGAGGAAGGUGGGGAUGACGUCAAAUCAGCACGGCCCUUACGUCCGGGGCCACACACGUGUUACAAUGGGGGGUACAGAGGGCCGCUACCACGCGAGUGGAUGCCAAUCCCCAAAACCUCUCUCAGUUCGGACUGGAGUCUGCAACCCGACUCCACGAAGCUGGAUUCGCUAGUAAUCGCGCAUCAGCCACGGCGCGGUGAAUACGUUCCCGGGCCUUGUACACACCGCCCGUCAAGCCAUGGGAGCCGGGGGUACCUGAAGUGCGUAACCGCGAGGAGCGCCCUAGGGUAAAAC